GCAAAAUUUCCUUAAAAUUACCAAUUCAGGGGCAGCAACCCAACAACGGGUUGUCUGAUUCAUCUGAAAAUUUCAGGGCAGAUAGAUCUUGACCUGAUAAACAAUAUUACCCCAUGUCAGAUUUGCUCUAAAUGCUUUGGUUUUUGAGUUAUAAGCCAAAAACUGCAUUUGACCCCUAUGUUCUAUUUUUAGCAAUGGCGACCAUGUUUGUUGAUAGAUCAAAACUUCGGAUACAAUUUAUAAAUUAGAUACCCUAAGGAACAUUCAGUUAAAGUUUGAAAGUAUUUGGCCCAGUAGUUUCAGAGGAGAAGAUUCUUGAAAUAGUUUAUGACGACAGACGACAGACGACGGACGACGACGGACGCCAAGUGAUGGCAUAAGCUCACUUGUCCCUUCGGGACAGG
Molecule: long non-coding RNA, 404 nt
Filed under: Mytilus galloprovincialis (Mediterranean mussel)
Lineage: Eukaryota; Metazoa; Mollusca; Bivalvia; Mytilida; Mytilidae
Source: RNAcentral